This 2357-nucleotide ribosomal RNA is filed under the name Pinus taeda (loblolly pine). Its description in RNAcentral is "eukaryotic LSU rRNA". The stretch from base 366 to 2357 matches the Rfam family "Eukaryotic large subunit ribosomal RNA". The record is from RNAcentral. Lineage: Eukaryota; Viridiplantae; Streptophyta; Pinopsida; Pinales; Pinaceae.
AGCUAGGGUGAUGGUAGCUUAUCUCUGAGAAGAGAUGUGUGGCUACAUGCCUUUGAACUGUGUUACAAUGAGGCUCGAAGGCCUAUUUAUUAUUGAGAAACAAUGGAAAAACCCUUCACAUUCCAAAACCUAACCCUGGAAGAUGAAAAGCCAAAUUGUGGGCCCCGUUUUUGGGUAAGUUGGUACAUCAACUUCUCGGGGUCGCGAAUUGGUCAUCUUAUCUCCAUUUGACGUGCAUAAUAGCUUGUUGGAAAGAUCUCUCCGAGGACUACGACAAAAAAGGCAAUUUUUAGACUAAAAAAUCAUUGGCGGUAUAUUUCCCAAAAAACGUCGUUUAGGGCCUCAAAACGGCUCCGAAAGUUUAGGACCCAAAAAACUGCUAAAAAUAGUAAACUUUGCUAUAAUUAAGGAAACUGAAAGAACUGAAAGAAGCACUAGAGGGGAUCCACGUGGAAUUAGUGGGUGGCCACCAAUAUCCACCUGGAUCAGGGGAUCAUUGAGAAACCUUGAGCAUGAGCUUGGGUGGAUCGGCCCCCAGUGAAGAUCUUGGUGGUAGUAACAAAUAUUCAAAUGAGAACUUUGAAGACUGAAGUGGGGAAAGGUUCCAUGUGAACAGCACUUGGACAUGGGUUAUCAAUCCUAAGAUAUGGGGAAGCCUUGUAUCAAGAGUGCACUCUGCACAAGCAUCGAAAGGGAAUCACGUUAAUAUUCCUAAACCGUGACAUGGUAGUGGGCGACAAUGUUAGGAAAUCGGGAGAUGUCGUCGGGGACCCCAGGAAGAGUUAUCUUUUAUUUUUAACAGCUUUCCCACCCUGGAAUCGGUUCACUAGGAGCUAGGAUCCAGUAGCUAGAAGUGCACCAAAAUUUUUGUGAUGUCUAGUGUGCCCUCAAAAACCCUUGAAAAUCUGGAGGACCAAGUACCAUUCAUGCCCGAUCGUACUCAUAACCGCAUUAGGUCUCCAAGGUGAACAACCUCUGGUCAAUAGAACAAUGUAGGUAAGGGAAGUCGACAAAAUGGAUCCGCAACUUCAGGAAAAGGAUGGCUAUGAGGGUUGGGCCUAAGAGUCUGAGCCCUCAACAUGUGGGCUGUCAGCAGUCUACCUGAGCUAGUCUCGCGGCAAGGGUAGGCAAUCGCAUGCUGAUUGGGCUACGGGUGUAGAAUUCCCCUACUGGGGGAUUUUCCCUAGGCGUCGAACAAUUGACUCAGAACUGGUAUGAACAAGGGGAAUCUUAUUCUUUAAUUAAAAUAAAGCACUUCGAUGUUCCCUGCGGAUGCUAACGCAAUGUGAUUUUUUCCUAGUUCUCUGAAUGUAAAAGUGAAGAAAUUCAACCAAGCACGGGUAAACGAUGGGUGUGACUAUGACUCUCUUAAGUUAGCCAAAUUCCUCAUUAUCUAAUUAGUGACACGCAUGAAUGGAUUAACGAUAUUCCCACUGUCCCUAUCUACUAUCUAGCAAAACCAUAUCCAAGGAAACGAGCUUCAUAGAAUCAGUGGGGAAAGAAGACCUUGUUGAGCUUAACUCUAGUCUGACUUUGUGAAAUGACUUGAGAGGUGUAGAAUAAGUGGGAGCCAUUUUUGGUGCAAGUGAAAUACCACUACUUUUAAUGUUAUUUUACUUAUUCUCUGUGGCGAAGAUGGGGAACUUCCCCUAUUUUUUGUGUUAAGGCAUGUUUCGGCGGGUUGAUCUGGGCAGAAGACAUUUUCAAGUGGGGAUUUUGGCUGGGGCGACACAUUUGUUAAAAGAUAACGCAAGUUUCCUAAGAUGAGCUCAACGAGAACAGAAAUCUCGUGUUGAACAAAAGGGUAAAAGCUUAUUUGAUUUUCAUUUUCAGUACAAAUACAAACCAUGAAAGCAUGACCUAUUGAUCCUUUAGAUUUUUAGAAUUUGAAGCUAGAGGUGUCAAAAAAGUUACCACAGGGAUAACUGGCUUGUGGCAACCAAGCAUUCAUAGCGACGUUGCUUUGUGAUCCUUUAAUGUCAACUCUUCCUAUCAUUGUGAAGCAGAACUCACCAAGUGUUGGAUUGUUCACCCACCAAUAGGGAACGUGAGCUGGGUUUAGACCAUCGUGAGAAAGGUUAGUUUUACACUACUGAUGAAUUGCACUGCAAUAGUAAUAAAACUAGUACAAGAGGAACUGUUGAUUCACAUAAUUGGUCGUUGCACUUGGUUGAAAAGCCAGUGGCUCGAAGCUUCUAUGUGUCAGAUUAUGAAUAAAUGCCUCUAAGUCAGAAUCCAUGCUAGAAGCAGUGCAUGUCACUCUUCGACUGUAUCUCGACCCACAGUAGGGAAAUAACUUUGUCACCCCAAGGGGCCCAUGUCAUUUGCAAACCAUGACCAUGAAGCACCUCAGUUGG